AAAGAACAAAGUUUUGUCCAUCUUCGUUCAUCAUAGCUGAAAGUUAGAGAAGAGAAAGGAGAGGAGAAAGCUCUUGAGUAUUCGGUCAUUAGGAGGAGGAAAAUUGAAGGUAAGUUCUUGGUACCUUGCUUCUAUUUUGAGGUUCAUGAGUUCUUCUUGAUUCUACCUUAACUCUUGAAGUAUAUUUUGAUUUUUAGUUGUGUUGUGAGCAUUUAGUCAUGAAUUAAAAUGAAGGAAAUGGUUGUUGUUUCAUGUUCUUUUGAUGAAAAAAUGGAAGAUAGGUGAAGUUGAGCCAAACAAAUGAGCAUGCAUAUGCCUUAGAUGUUAAAGGGAAAAAUCAGCUAACAUGUUGUGCUUUAAAAUGAUGAAAUGGAGAUUAUACUUAAGUAAAAUCAUAGAUAUGUGAUGAUUGAUUGGUGAUAUACUUGUUUAAAUAACAUGCAUGCAAGGUAUGUGUGAAAGAGUGAUUUGGUAAUAAAUCUACUUGGGACAGCAGCAGUAACGUGACUUUGGAAAAUCACCAUAAAUUGUGGGAGAUGAAUUAGAGGCUGAAUAAAUUAUGUAAUUAAAGCUUAUUGAGUCUAGUUUCUAAUGAAAUAAACAAGAACAUAUUUUGAAUUCUGUACAAUGAGAAAUUUGAUUCGUAAUGAAGAGUGGUCAGAUUAGUCAAACAGUGAAACAUGGGAAACUUUAAGAAAAAUCUGGUAUUGAUUGGCCAUACCAAAAAUUCUGAAAAUUUUAUGGAUAAAAUAUAUAUGAGUCUAUUUUCAGGGAAAAUUAACGGCACUUGAUUUGGAGUUUUGUAGUUACAGUUAUAAAUAAUUUAGUGACUGUUGCUCAGGAAGACAGCUUGCAGUGAAAUUAUGAUUAUGUGGUAAACAUUGACAAAAAUUUGUUAAUGAGUUGCUUAUUGAUUUCUUAUAAGCUUACUAUGAUCUGUAGGUGUGGUUGGCCGAAUAUUGUAAGGGGUUAAUACGUAGUUUGUAUUUGAAUAUUUAGAUUAACGUGUUAGUAAUCCAAUUGUAGGCGGUUCGUGUGUGGAUCUCGUCAGCAUAUCGUCGCAAACAGGUGUGUAACUGACACCCUCUCAUAGACUAGAUUGGCAAAAGCCGAAAAGCCGAAAUGCCAAAAAGUCGGUAUUUUGGGAAUUCGCGAGUGUGCGAAUGCUCGUAAGAUAGUUGGGUUUGUAUAUUUGGUAAUCUAAAGUAAUAAACUGCAGUAUGCGCGAUUUCGUACAUUUUGAUAAUUUGGGCUUAAUGGACCAAAGAUCGGGUUCAUGGGCCAACGGGCCCAAUUCGGUAAGUAUGCGCGGUAAGUGUUCUAAUAGUACAUAAAUAGUUAGGAUAUGCAUGAAAACCCUGAAAGUAGCUAAAUUACUAUAAUACCCCUAUGUAUGGAAAAUUACUGUUAUACCCCUAGGUGUAAAAUUACCGUUAUACCCCUAGGGUUAAUUUUGACUGAAAAGCAUGUCGAUCUGAUUCUGUAUGAUGUAUGCCAUGAUUAUAUAUCUGUUGCAUGAGGACACGGGUUAUAUUAUGGAGGAAGCGUUCUGGUGGCUAUGCCACAAAUAUCUGAUCUGGUGGCUCUGCCACAUAUAUCUGUUCUGGUGGCUCUGCCACAUAUAUCUGUUCUGGUGGCUCUGCCACGAUUAUCUGUAUCUGGUGACUCUGUCACAUUAUCUGUUCUGGCAGCCAUGCUGCAAAUUCUGUGGUGUGUAGCGGUUGGGUGGGUCGAGUUGUCUCCCCACACGGUGUAAGGUUGGUACGGGGGUGUAUAUGGUUGGAUAUGGUUGGGUUUCUGCAUAAACAUGUAAUAUCUGUUCUGUUCUGUUAUGGGCCUAUGGGCUUUAUUUUGAAUUCUGUUCUGGGCUAAGGCCAACUUAUUCUAUUUCUGUGGUUUAAGCUGAUAAAGGCUAUGGUUGGGUUAAUUUACACACUGAGUUUCCCCAAACUCACCCCUUUUAUUUUCAUCCACGCAGGUAAUCCCCAACCAUAGUGGGCUUGGAGCUGUGAGGGAAUUCGGAGUGGCCACCUGUUCUGAAUGUUUGAUUUUCUUCUGGUGAACUGGACAUCCUUUUAUUUACGUUUGAAGUUUUGGGUUUUUAAAUGUAAUAAGGCCGCUUAUUUAUUUUUGAUGGUUUUUUUUAUAUGUAUUACUAAGAUAGGUAAUACUUAUUUUAACUGUUGAAAUUGGAUAGCUUUAGGGCGCGUUUUCAAAAACAACAGUUGAUUUCAAAAUAACACGA
This 2245-nucleotide long non-coding RNA is filed under the name Gossypium barbadense (sea-island cotton). Its description in RNAcentral is "long non-coding RNA (GBAR_LNC011157)". The record is from RNAcentral. Lineage: Eukaryota; Viridiplantae; Streptophyta; Magnoliopsida; Malvales; Malvaceae.